UACGUAGGGCGCAAGCGUUGUCCGGAAUUAUUGGGCGUAAAGAGCUCGUAGGCGGCUUGUCACGUCGGGUGUGAAAGCCCGGGGCUUAACCCCGGGUCUGCAUUCGAUACGGGCAGGCUAGAGUGUGGUAGGGGAGAUCGGAAUUCCUGGUGUAGCGGUGAAAUGCGCAGAUAUCAGGAGGAACACCGGUGGCGAAGGCAGCACUCUGGGACGUGACUGACGCUGAGACGCGAAAGCGUGGGGAGCAAACAGG
RNAcentral lists this ribosomal RNA (253 nucleotides) under uncultured bacterium. RNAcentral describes it as "partial 16S ribosomal RNA". It matches the Rfam family "Bacterial small subunit ribosomal RNA", at positions 524 to 776 of the family's 1533-position model. The record is from RNAcentral.